GACGAACGCUGGCGGCGCGCUUAACACAUGCAAGUCGAACGGAAAGGCCUGCUUUCCCUUGUGGAUUGCGGGUACUCGAGUGGCGAACGGGUGAGUAACACGUGAGUGAUCUGCCCCCAACUUGGGUAUAAGCCUGGGAAACUGGGUCUAAUUCCCGAUAGGACUGCAGGGUGGUGCCUGUGGUGGAAAACGAUUUUCUAGUGGUUGGGGAUGAGCUCGCGGCCUAUCAGCUUGUUGGUGGGGUAAUGGCCUACCAAGGCGGCGACGGGUAGCCGGCCUGAGAGGGUGGACGGCCACAUUGGGACUGAGAUACGGCCCAGACUCCUACGGGAGGCAGCAGUGGGGAAUAUUGCACAAUGGGCGGAAGCCUGAUGCAGCGACGCCGCGUGGGGGAUGACGACCUUCGGGUUGUAAACUCCUUUCGACCGCGAGGAAGCCACCUGGUUGGAAGGGUGGUGACGGUAGUGGUAGAAGAAGCACCGGCUAACUACGUG
Molecule: ribosomal RNA, 494 nt
Filed under: uncultured bacterium
Lineage: Bacteria
Description: partial 16S ribosomal RNA
Rfam family: Bacterial small subunit ribosomal RNA
Source: RNAcentral